AGUGAACGCUGGCGGUAGGCCUAGCACAUGCAAGUCGAACGGCAGCACAGUAAGAGCUUGCUCUUACGGGUGGCGAGUGGCGGACGGGUGAGGAAUACAUCGGAAUCUACUUUUUCGUGGGGGAUAACGUAGGGAAACUUACGCUAAUACCGCAUACGACCUACGGGUGAAAGCAGGGGAUCUUCGGACCUUGCGCGAUUGAAUGAGCCGAUGUCGGAUUAGCUAGUUGGCGGGGUAAAGGCCCACCAAGGCGACGAUCCGUAGCUGGUCUGAGAGGAUGAUCGGCCACACUGGAGCUGAGACACGGUCCAGGCUCCUACGGGAGGCAGCAGUGGGGAAUAUUGGACAAUGGGCGCAAGCCUGAUCCAGCCAUACCGCGUGGGUGAAGAAGGCCUUCGGGUUGUAAAGCCCUUUUGUUGGGAAAGAAAAGCAGCAGGUUAAUACCCCGCUGUUCUGACGGUACCCAAAGAAUAAGCACCGGCUAACUUCGUG
RNAcentral lists this ribosomal RNA (492 nucleotides) under uncultured bacterium. Its description in RNAcentral is "partial 16S ribosomal RNA". It matches the Rfam family "Bacterial small subunit ribosomal RNA", at positions 29 to 507 of the family's 1533-position model. The record is from RNAcentral.